GCGGAUAUGGUUUAGUGGUAAAACGGGACCUUGCCAAGGUUCAGUCGGGAGUUCGAUUCUCCCUAUCCGCA
This 71-nucleotide transfer RNA is filed under the name Parcubacteria bacterium C7867-007. Its description in RNAcentral is "tRNA-Gly". It matches the Rfam family "tRNA". Rfam says of the family: Transfer RNA (tRNA) molecules are approximately 80 nucleotides in length. Their secondary structure includes four short double-helical elements and three loops (D, anti-codon, and T loops). Further hydrogen bonds mediate the characteristic L-shaped molecular structure. tRNAs have two regions of fundamental functional importance: the anti-codon, which is responsible for specific mRNA codon recognition, and the 3' end, to which the tRNAs corresponding amino acid is attached (by aminoacyl-tRNA synthetases). tRNAs cope with the degeneracy of the genetic code in two manners: having more than one tRNA (with a specific anti-codon) for a particular amino acid; and 'wobble' base-pairing, i.e. permitting non-standard base-pairing at the 3rd anti-codon position. The record is from RNAcentral. Lineage: Bacteria; Candidatus Parcubacteria.